RNAcentral lists this ribosomal RNA (480 nucleotides) under uncultured bacterium. RNAcentral describes it as "bacterial SSU rRNA". It matches the Rfam family "Bacterial small subunit ribosomal RNA", at positions 29 to 506 of the family's 1533-position model. The record is from RNAcentral.
UUGAACGCUGGCGGAAUGCUUUACACAUGCAAGUCGAGCGGCAGCGCGGGGCAACCUGGCGGCGAGCGGCGAACGGGUGAGUAAUAUAUCGGAACGUACCCUGUCGUGGGGGAUAACACAUCGAACGACGUGCUAAUACCGCAUACGACCUGAGGGUGAAAGCGGGGGAUCGCAAGACCUCGCGCGAUAGGAGCGGCCGAUAUCGGAUUAGCUAGUUGGUGAGGUAAAGGCUCACCAAGGCGACGAUCAGUAGCGGGGCUGAGAGGAUGAUCCGUCACACUGGAACUGAGACACGGUCCAGACUCCUACGGGAGGCAGCAGUGGGGAAUUUUGGACAAUGGGGGCAACCCUGAUCCAGCCAUUCCGCGUGAGUGAAGAAGGCCUUCGGGUUGUAAAGCUCGUUCAGCCGGAACGAAACGGUACGCUCUAACAUAGCGUGCUAAUGACGGUACCGGCAGAAGAAGCACCGGCUAACUACGU